UGCCAGCAGCCGCGGUAAUACUGAGGGUGCAAGCGUUACUCGGAAUCACUGGGCGUAAAGAGCGUGUAGGCGGCUUUGUAAGUCGGAUGUGAAAGCCCUGGGCUCAACCUGGGAAUUGCAUUCGAUACUGCAUGGCUAGAGUAUGGUAGAGGGAAGUGGAAUUUCCGGUGUAGCGGUGAAAUGCGUAGAUAUCGGAAGGAACACCGGUGGCGAAGGCGACUUCCUGGGCCAAUACUGACGCUGAGGCGCGAAAGCGUGGGUAGCAAACAGGAUUAGAUA
Molecule: ribosomal RNA, 279 nt
Filed under: uncultured bacterium
Lineage: Bacteria
Description: partial 16S ribosomal RNA
Rfam family: Bacterial small subunit ribosomal RNA
Source: RNAcentral